ACAACAGAGGAAAGAUUUGACUGAUUGCAACCUCUUUUAUGCUAAUUAAAAUCAGCAUAAAUAAAAAAUGCUAAAGGCAGUGUU
Molecule: regulatory RNA element, 84 nt
Organism: Seonamhaeicola sp. S2-3
Lineage: Bacteria; Pseudomonadati; Bacteroidota; Flavobacteriia; Flavobacteriales; Flavobacteriaceae
Source: Rfam